GAUGAACGCUGGCGGCGUGCCUAAUACAUGCAAGUCGAGCGAACGGACGAGAAGCUUGCUUUUCUGAUGUUAGCGGCGGACGGGUGAGUAACACGUGGAUAACCUACCUAUAAGACUGGGAUAACUUCGGGAAACCGGAGCUAAUACCGGAUAAUAUUUUGAACCGCAUGGUUCAAAAGUGAAAGACGGUCUUGCUGUCACUUAUAGAUGGAUCCGCGCUGCAUUAGCUAGUUGGUAAGGUAACGGCUUACCAAGGCAACGAUGCAUAGCCGACCUGAGAGGGGGCUCGGCCACACUGGAACUGAGACACGGUCCAGACUCCUACGGGAGGCAGCAGUAGGAAAUCUUCCGCAAUGGGCGAAAGCCUGACGGAGCAACGCCGCGUGAGUGAUGAAGGUCUUCGGAUCGUAAAACUCUGUUAUUAGGGAAGAACAUAUGUGUAAGUAACUGUGCACAUCUUGACGGUACCUAAUCAGAAAGCCACGGCUAACUACGU
RNAcentral lists this ribosomal RNA (496 nucleotides) under uncultured bacterium. RNAcentral describes it as "partial 16S ribosomal RNA". It matches the Rfam family "Bacterial small subunit ribosomal RNA", at positions 28 to 506 of the family's 1533-position model. The record is from RNAcentral.